GUAAACGGCAACAGGCGGCGCCCCCUGCCCGGCACCACACACCCGAGAUCGCUACCUCAGGAAUGCUCUGUGGGAUCCCGCCGCCUGGCUCCCGCCGCUGCCGCUGGGGCGGAUCAGCUGAUAUUUACCUGUGAGGUGGAGGUAACAGUUCACUGGAUUAAGAGGCUGAACAUUCUGGCCAAUAAACAACAGCAAUUGAAGAUAAUAUUCUAAGAAGCUUGCAGUGUUUUAAGUCCCCAUCCCACUGGCUCAGGUAUCACCAGGAAUCAACAGGCAAAGCAGUCUGCUUCCAGCCUGCGCAGCCAGAGAUGCUGCUAACAAAAACUAAACCACCACCCAAGGAGCAAUAAUGAAUGUGUCAGGACAUGGUCUCAGAAACAUGGAAGUCCUGCAGGACAAGGCUGGCAUUGCCUCCACACUGUGAAGCAUCCUCAUCUGUAAAGGCAUACUGCUGUCACUACUGAGCCUUGAAGCAUUACCCAGUGGGAUGUUUUCUUCAGAUGGUCUUUUGCUUUGGGGAAGAGGGAAAUCAAAGAGAGAAUAUGCUGAUUCAGGUGAAUCCUUCAGGUUUUAGCAGCAAUGGACAAGCUUCAGAGGUACCUUGGAGACUUGCAAGCAUGCAAAAGAUAAGGCACCAGGAUCAUUUUUGUUAAAGCCAUUUUUGCAUUACUUUAUAUAUCAGAGAGUGGUCAUUAAAUGGCUGGGGACAGCAGAUGGAGAAAUGCCACUCCUGAAACAAAACAGGAAUUUUUGCUGCCUCAUGCUCCAUCUCUACCUUUCUGUAUCUCAGCUCAGAGUGAGGGGCAGUACUAGAGGGCAGAGUGGUCAUGAUGGUUUUUACUUCCAUCUAAAACUUCACUGUCAUAGGACUCUUGAUUGUGGCUUUUGUUCUGAGUAACAGGAACAUGGGAUUAAGGAAACACACGGGCAUACUGAGGUCUAAAUAAACCUGCUUCUAACAGCAAAUAACCUGCAAGGUCUUGGUAUAGCUAAGUGCUGUGAUUCUGGCAGAUCUCCAGAGACAGAGCACGAAGGGGCAGUCCUGCACUCAUUCCUUGUUUAAUUCCUGAGUGCUGCUAUCUUUCAUACUUAGUGUCUCCUUGCUGCACUGCUUGCGGUAGGACCCAGCUGGUCAGAAAUCAAUGUGGCACAACUGUUUUCCUGUUGUUGCAGACUAUUGCAGAUUUUUGCCUCUUUCUGCCCAUUUCCAGAUUGACAUAAAGGGUUGGGAGAGCCCUAGAGCAUGGGGGAAAUACGGAGUAUGUGUUUUGUAAACCUGAUUACUUAGAGUAGGUGGGACCUGUGAGGUCCUCCUCAGGCCUGUAUUGCUAAGCUGGGAGACCUGCAGGACACAAUGGCAACUAUCUCCAGCUCCCUGCACUUGUCAUUUUCUACACAUGCUUGGAAAUUCUCUACUUAAUUGACUUGCAGCAGUGUCCUGAGCCAUACAGGUAGCAGGAACCUUCCUUGGUAAGGGGUUCUCUCCUCACUCCUGAGGAUUGAGGGAUAACUCAGUCAGGCAGAGCACACAGAGAAUAGCAGACCAACAAACCAAACAUCUGAACCAGCCGGAAGAAACCUACAAACCAAACCCAAACAGCUUCUCAUGUCUGAACCAUUUUUACAACUGUAAAUUCAUGGAGCUCUGCACCCCAUUUCUGUCUAUAAGCCCACAGUUGUUCUGAGAAUUCUUUUCAUUUAAUCAGUUUAGUUGAUUGUGUUCACUUUUUGGAAUUGAUGAUCUUUCCUUUGUUGCUACCGUUUGGAGUGGAGUUAUACUGAGUAAAACUUAUUCAGUUGUUUAACAGGAACACAGACCAGCAUUAGGAGUGUGCAACAGAUAAGCUGCAUUUGGGGA
Molecule: long non-coding RNA, 1858 nt
Organism: Neopsephotus bourkii (Bourke's parrot)
Lineage: Eukaryota; Metazoa; Chordata; Aves; Psittaciformes; Psittacidae
Exons: 5
Source: RefSeq, a predicted model, not a curated record